GCCAGCAGCCAUAUCCCCCUGCAGCUCACAACUGGCAAUCCACUGAAGCUAAGCAGGUGUGAGCCUGGUCAAUUAGCCGGAUGGGAGACCUUCUGGGAAAAACUAAGGUUGCUGCUGGAA
Molecule: ribosomal RNA, 120 nt
Filed under: Lepisosteus oculatus (spotted gar)
Lineage: Eukaryota; Metazoa; Chordata; Actinopteri; Semionotiformes; Lepisosteidae
Source: RNAcentral